UACGUAGGUGGCGAGCGUUGUCCGGAUUUACUGGGCGUAAAGAGCGCGCAGGCGGUCGUGCAAGACGGAUGUGAAAGCGCCCGGCUCAACUGGGGAGGGUCAUUCGAUACUGCUCGACUUGAAGGCGGGAGAGGGAAGCGGAAUUCCCGGUGUAGUGGUGAAAUGCGUAGAUAUCGGGAGGAACACCAGUGGCGAAGGCGGCUUCCUGGCCCGUUCUUGACGCUGAGGCGCGAAAGCUAGGUGAGCAAACGGG
This 253-nucleotide ribosomal RNA is filed under the name uncultured bacterium. Its description in RNAcentral is "partial 16S ribosomal RNA". It matches the Rfam family "Bacterial small subunit ribosomal RNA", at positions 524 to 776 of the family's 1533-position model. The record is from RNAcentral.